This 765-nucleotide ribosomal RNA is filed under the name uncultured Russula. Its description in RNAcentral is "partial 28S ribosomal RNA". It matches the Rfam family "Eukaryotic large subunit ribosomal RNA", at positions 216 to 962 of the family's 3401-position model. The record is from RNAcentral. Lineage: Eukaryota; Fungi; Basidiomycota; Agaricomycetes; Russulales; Russulaceae.
GAAUCCCGUCUUUGACACGGACUGCCUGUGCGACAUGGUGCGCUCUCGAAGAGUCGAGUUGUUUGGGAAUGCAGCUCAAAAUGGGUGGUAAAUGCCAUCUAAAGCUAAAUAUUGGCGAGAGACCGAUAGCGAACAAGUACCGUGAGGGAAAGAUGAAAAGCACUUUGGAAAGAGAGUGAAACAGUACGUGAAAUUGUUGAAAGGGAAACGCUUGAAGUCAGUCGCGUCGGCCGAGACUCAGCCUUGCCUCGGCUUGGUGUACUUCUUGACCGACGGGUCAGCAUCAAUUUUGCCCCUUGGAUAAUGGCGAGGGAAAUGUGACACCUUUAUAGGUGUGUUAUAGUCUCUCGUCGCAUGCAAGGGUCGGGAUUGAGGAACUCAGCACGCGCCUUCGGGCGUCGGGGCCUUGCCCACGAUACGUGCUUAGGAUGUUGGCGUAAUGGCUUUAAACGACCCGUCUUGAAACACGGACCAAGGAGUCUAACAUGCCCGCGAGUGUUCGGGUGGAAAACCCGUGCGCGCAAUGAAAGUGAAAGUUGGGACCUCUGUCGCGGAGGGCACCGACGCCCGGACCAGAGCUUCUGCGACGGAUCUGCGGUGGAGCGUGUAUGUUAGGACCCGAAAGAUGGUGAACUAUGCCUGAAUAGGGUGAAGCCAGAGGAAACUCUGGUGGAGGCUCGUAGCGAUUCUGACGUGCAAAUCGAUCGUCAAAUUUGGGUAUAGGGGCGAAAGACUAAUCGAACCAUCUAGUAGCUGGUUCCUGCC